Molecule: ribosomal RNA, 513 nt
Filed under: uncultured bacterium
Lineage: Bacteria
Description: bacterial SSU rRNA
Rfam family: Bacterial small subunit ribosomal RNA
Source: RNAcentral
AGAGUUGAUUAUGGCUCAGGAUGAACGCUGGCGGCGUGCCUAACACAUGCAAGUCGAACGAAGCUCCGAUCCUGAGAUUCGGUCAAGAGGAAAGGAAGACUUAGUGGCGGACGGGUGAGUAAUGCGUGAGCAACCUGCCUUUCAGAGGGGGACAACAGUUGGAAACGACUGCUAAUACCGCAUAAAGUAUUAAGAUGGCAUCAUCUAAAUACCAAAGAUUUAUCGCUGAAAGAUGGGCUCACGUCUGAUUAGCUAGUUGGUGAGGUAAUGGCUCACCCAAGGCUGCGAUCAGUAGCCGGACUGAGAGGUCGAACGGCCACAUUGGGACUGAGAUACGGCCCAGACUCCUACGGGAGGCAGCAGUGGGGAAUAUUGGGCAAUGGGCGCAAAGCCUGACCCAGCAACGCCGCGUGAAGGAAGAAGGCUUUCGGGUUGUAAACUUCUUUUGGCAGGGACGAAGAAAGUGACGGUACCUGCAGAAUAAGCUCCGGCUAACUACGUGCCAGCCGCCGC